AUGGAAGCUAUUGUGAAGGCAAGAAAAGAAGCCAACAAGGUGAGGAAAAUGGCAAGGACCCAAGAUGCCGCGACCGAGGAGAGGAGGGUGGCGGCCGAGGAGAGAAAGGUGGCUUUGGAGGAGAGGAAGGUGAGCAAUGAGGAGCGAACAAGAUUGUUGGAAUGGGAGAAGAACUUGUUCUUCUUGAACACAACUAACCUCAAUGUGGCACAAAAAGAGUAUGCCAAUCUUGCCCAACAAGAAGUCUUGCUCCAAAAAAGAGCCAUGGUUCGUGCAAUGGGUGGCGGUGGCCUCGGCGCCAUGGGUGGCGGUGGCCUCGGCGCCAUGGGUGGCAUGGGUGGCUUCGGAGGUACCGUGGGAGGUUUAGGUGCAAUGGGAGGCAUGGCUGGCUUUGGAGCACCCCCCAACGCUAUGACCACCAUGGGAGGCAUGUAUUUUGCUUCUCUCAUGGGAGGCAUGGGUGCACAUCCGGCCGCCAUGGGCAGAAUGUCUUUCGAUGUGCCUCCUCGCACACAUUCUCAUGAAGAUGCCGUUGAAGAUCUUGCCAACAUCGUCGGAGCUUCACGUGAUGCGGUGCGCGAUCAGGAGAGGGAGGAAGAUUCAUCCUCGGAGGCGGAAGAAUCGUCUUCCGAAGAUGAGGACGAGGACGAGGAAUGA
This 657-nucleotide ribosomal RNA is filed under the name Triticum aestivum (bread wheat). RNAcentral describes it as "partial small subunit ribosomal RNA". Lineage: Eukaryota; Viridiplantae; Streptophyta; Magnoliopsida; Poales; Poaceae. The record is from RNAcentral.